UAGGGAAUCUUCGNUAAUGGACGGAAGUCUGACCGAGCAACGCCGCGUGAGUGAAGAAGGUUUUCGGAUCGUAAAGCUCUGUUGUAAGAGAAGAACGAGUGUGAGAGUGGAAAGUUCACACUGUGACGGUAUCUUACCAGAAAGGGACGGCUAACUACGUGCCAGCAGCCGCGGUAAUACGUAGGUCCCGAGCGUUGUCCGGAUUUAUUGGGCGUAAAGCGAGCGCAGGCGGUUAGAUAAGUCUGAAGUUAAAGGCUGUGGCUUAACCAUAGUACGCUUUGGAAACUGUUUAACUUGAGUGCAAGAGGGGAGAGUGGAAUUCCAUGUGUAGCGGUGAAAUGCGUAGAUAUAUGGAGGAACACCGGUGGCGAAAGCGGCUCUCUGGCUUGUAACUGACGCUGAGGCUCGAAAGCGUGGGGAGCAAACAGGAUUAGAUACCCUGGUAGUCCACGCCGUAAACGAUGAGUGCUAGGUGUUAGACCCUUUCCGGGGUUUAGUGCCGCAGCUAAACGCAUUAAGCACUCCGCCUGGGGAGUACGACCGCAAGGUUG
This 551-nucleotide ribosomal RNA is filed under the name uncultured bacterium. RNAcentral describes it as "bacterial SSU rRNA". It matches the Rfam family "Bacterial small subunit ribosomal RNA", at positions 355 to 896 of the family's 1533-position model. The record is from RNAcentral.